UGGAGGAACAAUAUCCUAUAUGAAGCGUACAGAUAGACACAGUGAAAAUGUGUCUCUGCAUGUAAACCCCAAGCAAGAAUAAAAAAGUGAAGUAGUAGUCUGGAUUUUAUAUUAGAGUGGUCUUUUAUAGCUACCGGGUGAAGUAUCUCCAGAGUUUUCUUUGAUGUGCAUAGAAAAAAUUCUAAGAUAGGAGUGGGAAAGCUGGAAGACAUGAAACUCAGAGGUUCAAGAUUUUGAAAGGAGAUUGAAGAUAUAACCUAUUUGUUAGUAUUUUGUGAAGGGUGGAGAAGAGACGGAGAAGAUUGAGUCAAGAUUUUUGAAAGCGACAAGUUCUUUGCAUUUUCUGUAAGUGAAGUCGUGAGGCCCUAGUCCCUGAGUGUGCCACAGCCCAUCAGAAAAGGAAGCUUGCCUGUUCUUUCACCUGCGGACACCAGG
Long non-coding RNA from Harpia harpyja (harpy eagle), 435 nucleotides. RefSeq lists it as uncharacterized. NCBI's taxonomy places the organism in Eukaryota, Metazoa, Chordata, Aves, Accipitriformes, Accipitridae. The transcript is spliced from 4 exons. The record is from RefSeq and is a predicted model, not a curated record.